AGGCCACAAUUAAAAAUAUUUUGAUUUGCCCAGACCCUACCAAAAGGUUGAGACAGUGGGUAGGUAGGUAGGCAUUUUCUUUUUUUUUUUUUUCUAAAAGGAAAUUGAAGUAUCUGGUGUUUAUUAGUCUUCAUGCCUAUCUGAUUAAAAAAAACUUCUUCAAAUCAGGACAAUAAAAGAAUUUGAGUAGGCAGCUUUUUUCUGGGUAGGUAGCGUUUGGACAAACAAACCUAUUCUUUUUUAUGGCCC
RNAcentral lists this long non-coding RNA (249 nucleotides) under Mytilus galloprovincialis (Mediterranean mussel). The record is from RNAcentral. Lineage: Eukaryota; Metazoa; Mollusca; Bivalvia; Mytilida; Mytilidae.